AACGAACGCUGGCGGCGCGCCUAAUACAUGCAAGUCGAGCGAGAAGACGUAGCAAUACGUUUGUAAAGCGGCGAACGGGUGAGGAAUACAUGGGUAACCUACCCUCGAGUGGGGAAUAACUAGCCGAAAGGUUAGCUAAUACCGCGUACGCUCCUUGGACUUCGGUUCAGGGAGGAAAGCGAUACCGUGGGUAUCGCGCUCUUGGAUGGGCUCAUGUCCUAUCAGCUUGUUGGGAGGUAACGGCUCACCAAGGCUUCGACGGGUAGCUGGUCUGAGAGGACGAUCAGCCACACUGGCACUGCGACACGGGCCAGACUCCUACGGGAGGCAGCAGUAAGGAAUAUUGCGCAAUGGGCGAAAGCCUGACGCAGCGACGCCGCGUGGGGGAUGAA
This 392-nucleotide ribosomal RNA is filed under the name uncultured bacterium. RNAcentral's name for it is "bacterial SSU rRNA". It matches the Rfam family "Bacterial small subunit ribosomal RNA", at positions 29 to 412 of the family's 1533-position model. The record is from RNAcentral.